Molecule: ribosomal RNA, 476 nt
Filed under: uncultured bacterium
Lineage: Bacteria
Description: bacterial SSU rRNA
Rfam family: Bacterial small subunit ribosomal RNA
Source: RNAcentral
CAAUGGGCGCAAGCCUGACGGAGCAAGACCGCGUGGGGGAAGAAGGCUCUUGGGUUGUAAACCCCUUUUCUUUGGGAAGAACAAAAUGACGGUACCAGAGGAAUCAGCAUCGGCUAACUCCGUGCCAGCAGCCGCGGUAAGACGGAGGAUGCAAGCGUUAUCCGGAAUGAUUGGGCGUAAAGCGUCCGCAGGUGGCAGUUCAAGUCUGCUGUCAAAGACCGGGGCUUAACAUCGGAAAGGCAGUGGAAACUGAACAGCUAGAGUAUGGUAGGGGCAAAGGGAAUUCCUGGUGUAGCGGUGAAAUGCGUAGAGAUCNGGAAGAACAUCNGUGGCGAAAGCGCUNUGCUGGACCAUAACUGACACUCAGGGACGAAAGCUAGGGGAGCGAAUGGGAUUAGAUACCCCAGUAGUCCUAUGCCGUAAAACGAUGGAUAACUAGGUGUUGUGUGUAUCGAUCCCCGGAUCAGUGCCGUAAG